GGGCUUGUAGCUCAGUGGCAGAGCACCUCCUUUGCAAGGAGCAGCGCAGGGGUUCGAGUCCCCUCAGGUCCA
Molecule: transfer RNA, 72 nt
Filed under: Microbacterium maritypicum MF109
Lineage: Bacteria; Bacillati; Actinomycetota; Actinomycetes; Micrococcales; Microbacteriaceae
Rfam family: tRNA
About the family: Transfer RNA (tRNA) molecules are approximately 80 nucleotides in length. Their secondary structure includes four short double-helical elements and three loops (D, anti-codon, and T loops).
Source: Rfam by way of RNAcentral